GAUGAACGCUGGCGGCGUGCUUAACACAUGCAAGUCGAGCGAGUGAGUUCUUCGGAACGAUCUAGCGGCGGACGGGUGAGUAACACGUGGGCAACCUGCCUCAUAGAGGGGGAUAGCCUCCCGAAAGGGAGAUUAGUACCGCAUAAAAUUAUCGAGUGGCAUCACAUGAUAAUCAAAGGAGUAAUCCGCUAUGAGAUGGGCCCGCGGCGCAUUAACUAGUUGGUGAGGUAACGGCUCACCAAGGCGACGAUGCGUAGCCGACCUGAGAGGGUGAUCGGCCACAUUGGGACUGAGACACGGCCCAGACUCCUACGGGAGGCAGCAGGGGGGAAUAUUGCACAAUGGGGGAAACCCUGAUGCAGCAACGCCGCGUGAGUGAUGAAGGUCUUCGGAUUGUAAAGCUCUGUCUUUGGGGACGAUAAUGACGGUACCCAAGGAGGAAGCCACGGCUAACUACGUGCCAGCCGCCGCGGUAA
This 476-nucleotide ribosomal RNA is filed under the name uncultured bacterium. RNAcentral's name for it is "partial 16S ribosomal RNA". It matches the Rfam family "Bacterial small subunit ribosomal RNA", at positions 28 to 523 of the family's 1533-position model. The record is from RNAcentral.